Molecule: ribosomal RNA, 671 nt
Filed under: uncultured fungus
Lineage: Eukaryota; Fungi
Description: eukaryotic LSU rRNA
Rfam family: 5.8S ribosomal RNA (bases 205-358)
Source: RNAcentral
CCGUAGGUGAACCUGCGGAAGGAUCAUUCACAAUAAGCGUUUUAUGGCGCUUUUUAAACAAUCCAUAUCCACCUUGUGUGCAACGUUUGAGUUUUGCUUCUCUUUCCUUUACCGCGAGAGAGGAGUACUGCUUAAAUACAUCAACCUUUUUAAACUAGUUUGUCUGAACAUGUAUCAUGAAUUUUUUACCUAAUUCGAAAAUACAACUUUCAACAACGGAUCUCUUGGCUCUCGCAUCGAUGAAGAACGCAGCGAAAUGCGAUACGUAAUGUGAAUUGCAGAAUUCAGUGAAUCAUCGAAUCUUUGAACGCACAUUGCGCUCUCUGGUAUUCCGGAGAGCAUGCUUGUUUGAGUAUCAGUAAAACACCCUCAGCUCCCCCGCUUCUUAGGAAGAGAGGAGCUGGACUUGAGAGAUCCCAACGGCAGUGAGAACUGCUGGCGGGUCACUUGAAAUGCAGGUGCGGCUGGACACAUCUUCUGAGCUAUAAGCAUUACUUAUUUAGUCCCGUAAAACGGAUUAUAUCUAUUGCUGCAGCUAACAUAUAAAGGUCGAUUGUUCUUGUGCCCGACUGAUGCAGGAAAAUGAAGGCGUCUAAUAGCGUCCUUUGUUCAACUCGAUCUCAAAUCAAGCAAGACUACCCGCUGAACUUAAGCAUAUCAAUAAGCGGAGG